RNAcentral lists this ribosomal RNA (1540 nucleotides) under metagenome. Its description in RNAcentral is "bacterial LSU rRNA". It matches the Rfam family "Bacterial large subunit ribosomal RNA", at positions 1361 to 2925 of the family's 2925-position model. The record is from RNAcentral.
AAAGCUGAUCUGCCCUGGGUAAGUCGGGGCCUAAGGCGAGGUCGGAAGACGUAGCCGAUGGACAACAGGUGGAGAUUCCUGUACUGCAUAUGGUCAGAACUGUGGGGACACGGGGUGUUAACGGAAGCCGGGAAAGGAAAGACCGGUCCAAGCACAGGAGGCGUUGCGCAGGCAAAUCCGCGCAAUAAGCCAAAGGUGUGACGGGGAGCGAAAUUAUAGUAGCGAAGUCCGGAUACAUGCUGUCAAGAAAAGCCGCUAUUGCGCCAUAUGUACCCGUACCGUAAACCGACACAGGUGGAUGAGGAGAGAAUCCUAAGGCCGGCGGGAGAAGUGUUGUUAAGGAACUCGGCAAAAUGGCCCCGUAACUUCGGGAGAAGGGGCGCCCAGAAAUGGGCCGCAGAGAAAAGGCUCAAGCAACUGUUUAGCAAAAACACAGGUCUAUGCGAAACCGAAAGGUGAGGUAUAUGGGCUGACGCCUGCCCGGUGCUGGAAGGUUAAGGGGAGAGGUUAGCCGCAAGGCGAAGCUUUGAACUUAAGCCCCAGUAAACGGCGGCCGUAACAAUAACGGUCCUAAGGUAGCGAAAUUCCUUGUCGGGUAAGUUCCGACCCGCACGAAAGGCGUAAUGAUUUGAGCACUGUCUCGACAACACACCCGGUGAAAUUGAAAUACCAGUGAAGAUGCUGGUUACCUGCGCCAGGACGGAAAGACCCCAUGGAGCUUUACUCUAGUUUGAUACUGGGACCCGGUAUGACAUGUACAGGAUAGGUGGGAGGCAGAGAAUUAAUGACGCCAGUCAUUAAGGAGCCGCUGUUGGGAUACCACCCUUGUGAUGCCAGGUUUCUAACGAGCUGCCGUGAACCGGCAGGCGGACAAUGUCAGGCGGGGAGUUUGACUGGGGCGGUCGCCUCCGAAAGGGUAUCGGAGGCGCUCAAAGGUUCCCUCAGAAUGGUUGGAAACCAUUCGGAGAGUGCAAAGGCAGAAGGGAGCCUGACUGCGACACCGACGGGUGGAGCAGGUACGAAAGUAGGACUUAGUGAUCCGGUGGUAUAAAGUGGGAUUGCCAUCGCUCAACGGAUAAAAGCUACCCUGGGAUAACAGGCUUAUCACUCCCAAGAGUUCACAUCGACGGAGUGGUUUGGCACCUCGAUGUCGGCUCAUCGCAUCCUGGGGCUGGAGUAGGUCCCAAGGGUUGGGCUGUUCGCCCAUUAAAGCGGUACGCGAGCUGGGUUCAGAACGUCGUGAGACAGUUCGGUCCCUAUCCGGCGCGGGCGUAAGAGAUUUGAGAGGAGCUGUCCUUAGUACGAGAGGACCGGGAUGGACGGACCACUGGUGUAUCUGUUGCACCACCAGGUGCACGGCAGAGUAGCCAAGUCCGGACGGGAUAAACGCUGAAGGCAUCUAAGCGUGAAGCCCCCCUCAAGAUGAGAUCUCUCAUUCGAAAGAAGUAAGACCCCUUGAAGACGACGAGGUAGAUAGGGCAGGGGUGGAAGGGCAGUAAUGUCCGGAGCUGACUGUUACUAAUCGGUCGAGGGCUUGACC